This is a long non-coding RNA of Gallus gallus (chicken), 894 nucleotides long. Lineage: Eukaryota; Metazoa; Chordata; Aves; Galliformes; Phasianidae. The record is from Ensembl.
GAGCGGGCGGUUUUGCGUUCGGAGGACUCACCAUUCACCUGCCCGUACCCGGAAGUCCUCCAGAACCAUAGAGUUCUAGCGUGUGUGGGGCUAGAGUGGGCAUAAGGGUUGCUUGGAGGACUGGGGAGGCCUGGAGGUCCUCCAGAGUCAUAAAGUUGGGGGAUAUGUGGGGAUAGAGUGGGUAUAAGGGUUGCUUGGAGGACUGUGUAGGCCUUGAGGUCCUCCAGAGCCAUAGAGUUGUGGCACUUGAGGGGAUAGAGUGGCCACAGGGGUUGUUGGGGGGACUGGGUAGGCAGGAGUCCUCCAGAGCCAUAGAGUUCUAGCGUGUGUGGGGCUAGAGUGGGCAUAAGGGUUGCUUGGAGGGCUGGGGGUCCUCCAGGGUCAUAGAGUUGCGGGGUGGGUGGGGGGAGAGCGGGCGGUUUUGCGUUCGGAGGACUCACCAUUCACCUGCCCAUAGCCGGAAGUCCUCCAGAACCAUAGAGUUCUAGCGUGUGUGGGGCUAGAGUGGGCAUAAGGGUUGCUUGGAGGACUGGGUAGGCCUGGAGGUCCUCCAGAGCCAUAGAGUUGUGGCAGUUGAGGGGAUAGAGUGGCCACAGGGGUUGCUUGGGGGACUGGGGAGGGGUGGGGACCUCCAGAGCCAUAGAGUUGGGGGAUAUGUGGGGAUAGAGUGGGCAUAAGGGUUGCUGGGAGGGCUGGCUAGGCCUGGAGGACCUCCAGAGUCAUAGAGUUGUGGCACUUGAGGGGAUAGAGUGGCCACAGGGGUUGUUGGGGGGACUGGGUAGGCAGGAGUGCUCCAGAGCCAUAGAGUUAUAGCGUGUGUGGGGCUAGAGUGGGCAUAAGUGUUGCUUGGAGGGCUGGGGGUCCUCCAGGGUCAUAGAGUUGCGGGGUGGGUGG